This 228-nucleotide unclassified non-coding RNA is filed under the name uncultured fungus. RNAcentral describes it as "sequence contains ITS1". The record is from RNAcentral. Lineage: Eukaryota; Fungi.
GUAUUGAUUGCGUGUGACCGCAAAAUAAGAAAAGAACAUUCUAUACUGUAUCAAGUUUUAUGUGAAAACGCGAGCCCUCCCGCAAAGGGGGACCCACGCGGUGAUGCACAAAAGGGGUGAGAUGGAUUGUGUGAGAACGCUCGGGCGUGCACAACCUUUGAAGGUCAGCGACAGCCCUUGCGCCUCGGUUGUACGAUAAUGAUCCUUCCGCAGGUUCACCUACGGAAA